CUACGGGAGGCAGCAGUCGAGAAUCUUCGGCAAUGGACGCAAGUCUGACCGAGCGACGCCGCGUGCGGGAUGACGGCCCUUGGGUUGUAAACCGCUGUCAGAGGGGAUGAAAUGUGGAAAGGCAAUCCUUUCCAUUUGACAGAGCCUCAGAGGAAGCACGGGCUAAGUACGUGCCAGCAGCCGCGGUAACACGUACUGUGCGAACGUUAUUCGGAAUCACUGGGCUUAAAGGGUGCGUAGGCGGUUUAGUAAGUAGGGUGUGAAAUGCCAGAGCUCAACUUUGGCACGGCGCUCUAAACUGCUAAACUUGAGUGAGAUAGGGGUGUACGGAACUUCCGGUGGAGCGGUGAAAUGCGUUGAUAUCGGAAGGAACACCGGUGGCGAAAGCGGUACACUGGGUCUUAACUGACGCUGAGGCACGAAAGCCAGGGUAGCGAACGGGAUUAGAAACCCGUGUAGUCC
RNAcentral lists this ribosomal RNA (462 nucleotides) under uncultured bacterium. RNAcentral's name for it is "bacterial SSU rRNA". It matches the Rfam family "Bacterial small subunit ribosomal RNA", at positions 339 to 796 of the family's 1533-position model. The record is from RNAcentral.